RNAcentral lists this ribosomal RNA (928 nucleotides) under uncultured archaeon. RNAcentral describes it as "bacterial SSU rRNA". It matches the Rfam family "Archaeal small subunit ribosomal RNA", at positions 389 to 1314 of the family's 1478-position model. The record is from RNAcentral.
GUAGGCAUAGAGCCUACGCUUUUGUACACCGUAGGGAGGUGUACGAAUAAGAGCUGGGCAAGACCCGGUGCCAGCCGCCCGCGGUAAUACCGGCAGCUCGAGUGAUGGCCGAUCUUAUUGGGCCUAAAGCGUCCGUAGCUGGCUUUUCAAGUCCGUCGGGAAAUCUCCCCGCUCGACGGGGAGGCGUCCGGCGGAAACUGAAGAGCUUGGGACCGGAAGGCGUGACGGGUACGUCCGGGGUAGGAGUGAAAUCCUGUAAUCCUGGACGGACCGCCGAUGGGGAAACCACGUCACGAGGACGGAUCCGACAGUGAGGGACGAAAGCUAGGGUCUCGAACCGGAUUAGAUACCCGGGUAGUCCUAGCUGUAAACGAUGCCUGUUAGGUGUGACUCCCACUACGAGUGGGUGUUGUGCCGUAGGGAAGCCGCUAAACAGGCCGCCUGGGAAGUACGUCCACAAGGAUGAAACUUAAAGGAAUUGGCGGGGGAGCACUACAACCGGAGGAGCCUGCGGUUUAAUUGGACUCAACGCCGGACAUCUCACCAGCAUCGACUGUAGUAAUGACGAUCAGGUUGAUGACCUUAUCCGAGCUUCAGAGAGGAGGUGCAUGGCCGCCGUCAGCUCGUACCGUGAGGCGUCCUGUUAAGUCAGGCAACGAGCGAGACCCGCAUCCUUACUUGCCAGCAGCAUCGCGAGAUGGCUGGGGACAGUAGGGAGACCGCCGCUGCUAAAGCGGAGGAAGGAACGGGCAACGGUAGGUCAGUAUGCCCCGAAUGUGCUGGGCAACACGCGGGCUACAAUGGCCGAGACAGAGGGUUCCAACCCCGAGAGGGGACGGUAAUCUCAGAAACUCGGUCGUAGUUCGGAUUGUGGACUGAAACUCGUCCACAUGAAGCUGGAUUCGGUAGUAAUCGCGGUCAGAAGCGC